GUCAGUGAAAAUGUAUGUGUGCUUGUCAGUGAGAGUGUAUAUGUGUUUGUAUGUGUGUCUGUCAAAGAGUAUGUGUAUUUGUCAGUGAGUGUGUAUGUGUACUUGUCAGUGAGAGUGUAUGUGUGCUUGUCACUGAGAGUGGAAGUGUGCUUGUCAGUGAGAAUGUAUGUGUGCUUGUUAGUGAGAGUGUAUGUCAAUGAGUAUGUUUGUCUGAGUGUGUGUCAGUGUGUGUAUUGGUGUGUGUGUGUGUGUGUGUGUGUGCCAUUGUAUAUCAGUGUGUUUCUAUGUGCCUAUGUGUGUGUGUAUGUCAGUGUGCGUAAAUGACACUGUGUGUAUGUGUCAAUGUGUGUAUCUGAGUGUGUGUAUGUGCAAGUGUGUGUAUCUGUGGGUACAAGUGUUUGUAUAUGUCACUGUGUGUAUCUGAGUGUGUGUGUACUUGUGAGUCAAGAUGUGUGUAUGUGUAACUAUGUGCAUCUGAAUGUUUGUAUCUGUGAGUCAAGGUCUGUGUGUCUGUGUUUGCAUGUGCCGGUGUGUGUCAAGGUGUGUGUAUCUGUGU
This is a non-coding RNA of Pelobates cultripes (western spadefoot toad), 556 nucleotides long. NCBI's taxonomy places the organism in Eukaryota, Metazoa, Chordata, Amphibia, Anura, Pelobatidae. The record is from the annotation of a GenBank genome assembly.